CCUACGGGAGGCUGCAGUGGGGAAUAUUGCGCAAUGGGCGAAACCCUGAUGCAGCAACGCCGCGUGAGUGAAGAAGGAAUUCGGUUUGUAAAGCUCUUUCCUCAGGGAAGAAAAUGACGGUAGUUGAGGAAGAAUCCCCGGCUAACUACGUGCCAGCAGCCGCGGUAAUACGUAGGGGGCAAGCGUUAUCCGGAUUUACUGGGUGUAAAGGGAGGGUAGUCGGCGGAGCAGGUCAUGAGUGAAAGGCAGGGGCUCAACCCGCGGACUGCUGUGGAAACUGUACGGCUGGAGUGCUGGAGAGGUAAGUGGAAGUCCUAGUGUAGCGGUGAAAUGCGUAGAUAUUAGGAGGAACACCAGUGGCGAAGGCGGUUUGCUGGACUGUAACUGACGUUGAGGCUCGAAAGCGUGGGGAGCAAACAGGAUUAGAUACCCGAGUAGUC
This 440-nucleotide ribosomal RNA is filed under the name uncultured bacterium. Its description in RNAcentral is "partial 16S ribosomal RNA". It matches the Rfam family "Bacterial small subunit ribosomal RNA", at positions 338 to 795 of the family's 1533-position model. The record is from RNAcentral.